This 253-nucleotide ribosomal RNA is filed under the name uncultured bacterium. Its description in RNAcentral is "partial 16S ribosomal RNA". It matches the Rfam family "Bacterial small subunit ribosomal RNA", at positions 524 to 776 of the family's 1533-position model. The record is from RNAcentral.
UACGGAGGGUGCAAGCGUUAUCCGGAUUCACUGGGUUUAAAGGGUGCGUAGGUGGGUUUGUAAGUCAGUGGUGAAAUCUCCAAGCUUAACUUGGAAACUGCCGUUGAUACUAUAAAUCUUGAAUGUUGUGGAGGUGAGCGGAAUAUGUCAUGUAGCGGUGAAAUGCUUAGAUAUGACAUAGAACACCAAUUGCGAAGGCAGCUUACUACACAGUAAUUGACGCUGAGGCACGAAAGCGUGGGGAUCAAACAGG